This 253-nucleotide ribosomal RNA is filed under the name uncultured bacterium. RNAcentral's name for it is "partial 16S ribosomal RNA". It matches the Rfam family "Bacterial small subunit ribosomal RNA", at positions 524 to 776 of the family's 1533-position model. The record is from RNAcentral.
UACGUAGGGUGCGAGCGUUGUCCGGAAUCAUUGGGCGUAAAGCGCGUGUAGGCGGUCCGGUAAGUCCGCUGUGAAAGUCGGGGGCUCAACCCUCGGAUGCCGGUGGAUACUGUCGGGCUUGAGUACGGAAGAGGCGAGUGGAAUUCCCGGUGUAGCGGUGAAAUGCGCAGAUAUCGGGAGGAACACCAAUGGCGAAGGCAGCUCUCUGGGACGGUACUGACGCUGAGACGCGAAAGCGUGGGGAGCGAACAGG